RNAcentral lists this ribosomal RNA (713 nucleotides) under uncultured Providencia sp. Its description in RNAcentral is "bacterial SSU rRNA". It matches the Rfam family "Bacterial small subunit ribosomal RNA", at positions 800 to 1515 of the family's 1533-position model. The record is from RNAcentral. Lineage: Bacteria; Pseudomonadati; Pseudomonadota; Gammaproteobacteria; Enterobacterales; Morganellaceae.
CUGUAAACGAUGUCGAUUUGAAGGUUGUUCCUUGAGGAGUGGCUUUCGGAGCUAACGCGUUAAAUCGACCGCUGGGGAGUACGGCCGCAAGGUUAAAACUCAAAUGAAUUGACGGGGGCCCGCACAAGCGGUGGAGCAUGUGGUUUAAUUCGAUGCAACGCGAAGAACCUUACCUACUCUUGACAUCCAGAGAAUUUAGCAGAGAUGCUUUAGUGCCUUCGGGAACUCUGAGACAGGUGCUGCAUGGCUGUCGUCAGCUCGUGUUGUGAAAUGUUGGGUUAGGUCCCGCAACGAGCGCAACCCUUAUCCUUUGUUGCCAGCGAUUCGGUCGGGAACUCAAAGGAGACUGCCGGUGAUAAACCGGAGGAAGGUGGGGAUGACGUCAAGUCAUCAUGGCCCUUACGAGUAGGGCUACACACGUGCUACAAUGGCGUAUACAAAGAGAAGCGACCUCGCGAGAGCAAGCGGAACUCAUAAAGUGCGUCGUAGUCCGGAUUGGAGUCUGCAACUCGACUCCAUGAAGUCGGAAUCGCUGGUAAUCGUAGAUCAGAAUGCUACGGUGAAUACGUUCCCGGGCCUUGUACACACCGCCCGUCACACCAUGGGAGUGGGUUGCAAAAGAAGUAGGUAGCUUAACCUUCGGGAGGGCGCUUACCACUUUGUGAUUCAUGACUGGGGUGAAGUCGUAACAAGGUAACCAAGGGCGAAUUCUG